AUUCCAGCUCCAAUAGCGUAUAUUAAAGUUGUUGCAGUUAAAAAGCUCGUAGUUGAAUUUGUGGUUUACCAAGUGUUCCUAGCACUUGUUGUUGGUGAAGUACUUGGUAUCCAUCCUUGGGUGGAAUCUGUGUGGCAUUAGGUUGUCGUGCAGGGGACGCCCAUCUUUUACUGUGAAAAAAUUAGAGUGUUCAAAGCAGGCUUAUGCCGUUGAAUAUAUUAGCAUGGAAUAAUGAGAUAGGACCUUGGUACUAUUUUGUUGGUUUGCGCACCGAGGUAAUGAUUAAUAGGGACAGUUGGGGGUAUUCGUAUUCCAUUGUCAGAGGUGAAAUUCUUGGAUUUCUGGAAGACGAACUACUGCGAAAGCAUUUACCAAGGAUGUUUUCAUUA
RNAcentral lists this ribosomal RNA (389 nucleotides) under Cymbella sp. RNAcentral describes it as "partial small subunit ribosomal RNA". It matches the Rfam family "Eukaryotic small subunit ribosomal RNA", at positions 582 to 975 of the family's 1831-position model. The record is from RNAcentral. Lineage: Eukaryota; Bacillariophyta; Bacillariophyceae; Cymbellales; Cymbellaceae.